RNAcentral lists this ribosomal RNA (253 nucleotides) under uncultured bacterium. RNAcentral describes it as "partial 16S ribosomal RNA". It matches the Rfam family "Bacterial small subunit ribosomal RNA", at positions 524 to 776 of the family's 1533-position model. The record is from RNAcentral.
UACGAAGGGGGCUAGCGUUGUUCGGAAUUACUGGGCGUAAAGGGCUCGUAGGCGGCCAACUAAGUCGGAUGUGAAAUCCCCAGGCUCAACUUGGGAACUGCAUCCGAUACUGGAUGGCUUGAAUUCGGGAGAGGGAUGCAGAAUUCCAGGUGUAGCGGUGAAAUGCGUAGAUAUCUGGAGGAAUACCGGUGGCGAAGGCGGCAUCCUGGACCGACAUUGACGCUGAGGAGCGAAAGCUAGGGGAGCAAACGGG